GCGCCUUGAUGGUACUAAUUGAAUAAGUGACAGCUAACUAUGUGCCAGCAGCUGCGGUAAAACAUAGGUCACGAGCAUUAUCCGGAUUUAUUGGGCGUAAAGGAAGCGUAGGUGGGGAGGUUGAUCCAUUGUUAAAGGCAUUUGCUUAACAAAUGUAUGCGAUGGAGAUCGCCUCCCUAGAGUUAAUCAGGGGGUACUGGAAUUCAAUGUGUAGCGGUGGAAUGCGUAGAUAUAUUGAGGAACACCAGAGGCUAAGGCGAGUACCUAGGAUAUAACUGACACUGAGGCUUGAAAGCGUGGGGAGCAAAUGGGAUUAGAUACCCCAGUAGUCCACGCCGUAAACGAUGGGCAUUAGGUAUUUGACAUCUGGUCGAGUGCUGUAGCUAACGCGUUAAAUGCCCCGCCUGGGUAGUAUAUAUGCAAAUAUGAAACUCAAAGAAAUUGACGGGGACCUGAACAAGUGGUGGAGCAUGUUGCUUAAUUCGAUAAUACACGAAAAACCUUACCAAGGCUUGCAAUCUACUGCAAAGCUAUAGAAAUAUAGUGGAGGCAAUCAGUAAGAC
Molecule: ribosomal RNA, 563 nt
Filed under: Mycoplasma wenyonii
Lineage: Bacteria; Bacillati; Mycoplasmatota; Mollicutes; Mycoplasmatales; Mycoplasmataceae
Description: bacterial SSU rRNA
Rfam family: Bacterial small subunit ribosomal RNA
Source: RNAcentral